UGGCGGACGGGUGAGUAACGCGUGGGUAACCUGCCUCAUACAGGGGGAUAACAGUUAGAAAUGACUGCUAAUACCGCAUAAGACCACAGCACCGCAUGGUGUAGGGGUAAAAACUCCGGUGGUAUGAGAUGGACCCGCGUCUGAUUAGGUAGUUGGUGGGGUAACGGCCUACCAAGCCGACGAUCAGUAGCCGACCUGAGAGGGUGACCGGCCACAUUGGACUGAGACACGGCCCAA
This 237-nucleotide ribosomal RNA is filed under the name uncultured bacterium. RNAcentral's name for it is "partial 16S ribosomal RNA". It matches the Rfam family "Bacterial small subunit ribosomal RNA", at positions 96 to 334 of the family's 1533-position model. The record is from RNAcentral.